Molecule: ribosomal RNA, 372 nt
Filed under: uncultured eukaryote
Lineage: Eukaryota
Description: partial 18S ribosomal RNA
Rfam family: Eukaryotic small subunit ribosomal RNA
Source: RNAcentral
CAAUAGCGUAUAUUAAAGUUGUUGCAGUUAAAAAGCUCGUAGUUGGAUUUGUGGCGGUCCCUGUGGUCCAAUUUUGGUACUCUCGGGGACUGCCAUCCUUGGGUGGAUCCUGUGUGGCAUUAGGUUGUCGUGCAGGGGAUGCCCAUCGUUUACUGUGAAAAAAUUAGAGUGUUCAAAGCAGGCUUACGCCGUUGAAUAUAUUAGCAUGGAAUAAUGAGAUAGGACCUUGGUACUAUUUUGUUGGUUUGCGCACCGAGGUAAUGAUUAAUAGGGACAGUUGUGGGUAUUCGUAUUCCAUUGUCAGAGGUGAAAUUCUUGGAUUUCUGGAAGACGAACUAAUGCGAAANCANNNAUCAAGGAUGUUUUCAUNAA